RNAcentral lists this long non-coding RNA (481 nucleotides) under Phoenix dactylifera (date palm). Its description in RNAcentral is "long non-coding RNA (PDAC_LNC016863)". Lineage: Eukaryota; Viridiplantae; Streptophyta; Magnoliopsida; Arecales; Arecaceae. The record is from RNAcentral.
ACCCGGAUCCGAACCCGAACCCGGGGUGCUAGACACUUCGGCAGGGUCGGCCCUGGGAGAAUGUUAAAAUUUAGGUUUUAUAUAUAUAUUGUGAUGAAUUUUAAAAGAAAAUAUGGUUUUGAAUAUUAGGUUCUGCGAGGGAUUUGCGGAAUUAAUUGGAUUUGUUGUGGAUCGCGUUCGCAAGGUAAGUGAUGUAACCUCUUUACUAGAUUUAUCGGCAAACUAUGUAUAUGCUUUACGAAUUGAAUUGUUCGUGAUUUCGAAUUUGAUGCAUGGAUUAUAUGUGUAUUUUAGAAUAUUGUAUGAUUCUGAUUGGACGUAUUUGCUUCUGGUUCGAAUUGUGUUUAAUUACUCUGACAUUGUACCCUUUGGUUUGGAACAUUAAACAUAAUGUAAGAAAAGAUUAUGACUUGAAAUAGAUUCAGGCUUGCAGUCGGGCUAUGUUGAGAACCCUGCCAAUGGGGGCUAAUACAUUGGUACC